RNAcentral lists this ribosomal RNA (492 nucleotides) under uncultured bacterium. RNAcentral describes it as "partial 16S ribosomal RNA". It matches the Rfam family "Bacterial small subunit ribosomal RNA", at positions 29 to 507 of the family's 1533-position model. The record is from RNAcentral.
AGUGAACGCUGGCGGUAGGCCUAACACAUGCAAGUCGAACGGCAGCACAGUAAGAGCUUGCUCUUACGGGUGGCGAGUGGCGGACGGGUGAGGAAUACAUCGGAAUCUACUUUUUCGUGGGGGAUAACGUAGGGAAACUUACGCUAAUACCGCAUACGACCUACGGGUGAAAGCAGGGGAUCUUCGGACCUUGCGCGAUUGAAUGAGCCGAUGUCGGAUUAGCUAGUUGGCGGGGUAAAGGCCCACCAAGGCGACGAUCCGUAGCUGGUCUGAGAGGAUGAUCAGCCACACUGGAACUGAGACAAGGUCCAGACUCCUACGGGAGGCAGCAGUGGGGAAUAUUGGAGAAUGGGCGCAAGCCUGAUCCAGCCAUACCGCGUGGGUGAAGAAGGCCUUCGGGUUGUAAAGCCCUUUUGUUGGGAAAGAAAAGCAGCAGGUUAAUACCCCGCUGUUCUGACGGUACCCAAAGAAUAAGCACCGGCUAACUUCGUG